AACGAACGCUGGCGGCAGGCCUAACACAUGCAAGUCGAGCGGGGACUUCGGUCCUAGCGGCGGACGGGUGAGUAACGCGUGGGAACGUGCCCUUUGCUUCGGAAUAGCCCCUGGAAACGGGGAGUAAUACCGGAUGUGCCCUUUGGGGGAAAGAUUUAUCGGCAAAGGAUCGGCCCGCGUUGGAUUAGGUAGUUGGUGGGGUAAUGGCCUACCAAGCCGACGAUCCAUAGCUGGUUUGAGAGGAUGAUCAGCCACACUGGGACUGAGACACGGCCCAGACUCCUACGGGAGGCAGCAGUGGGGAAUCUUAGACAAUGGGCGCAAGCCUGAUCUAGCCAUGCCGCGUGAGCGAUGAAGGCCUUAGGGUUGUAAAGCUCUUUCGUGGGGGGAAGAUAAUGACGGUACCCCAAGAAGAAGCCCCGGCUAAACUCCGUGCCAGCAGCCGCGGUAAU
Molecule: ribosomal RNA, 452 nt
Filed under: uncultured bacterium
Lineage: Bacteria
Description: bacterial SSU rRNA
Rfam family: Bacterial small subunit ribosomal RNA
Source: RNAcentral